UACGGAGGGUGCAAGCGUUAUCCGGAAUCACUGGGUUUAAAGGGUGCGUAGGCGGCUUGAUAAGUCAGAGGUGAAAGCUCACUGCUCAACAGUGGAAUUGCCUUUGAUACUGUCAGGCUAGAAUCGGCACGAGGCAGGCGGAAUGUGACAUGUAGCGGUGAAAUGCUUAGAUAUGUCAUAGAACACCAAUUGCGAAGGCAGCUUGCCAGAGUCGCAUUGACGCUGAGGCACGAAAGCGUGGGGAGCGAACAGG
Molecule: ribosomal RNA, 253 nt
Filed under: uncultured bacterium
Lineage: Bacteria
Description: partial 16S ribosomal RNA
Rfam family: Bacterial small subunit ribosomal RNA
Source: RNAcentral